RNAcentral lists this ribosomal RNA (448 nucleotides) under uncultured Bacillus sp. RNAcentral describes it as "bacterial SSU rRNA". It matches the Rfam family "Bacterial small subunit ribosomal RNA", at positions 349 to 789 of the family's 1533-position model. The record is from RNAcentral. Lineage: Bacteria; Bacillati; Bacillota; Bacilli; Caryophanales; Bacillaceae.
CAGCAGUAGGGAAUCUUCCGCAAUGGACGAAAGUCUGACGGAGCAACGCCGCGUGAGUGAUGAAGGUUUUCGGAUCGUAAAACUCUGUUGUUAGGGAARAACAAGUACGAGAGUAACUGCUCGUACCUUGACGGUACCUAACCAGAAAGCCACGGCUAACUACGUGCCAGCAGCCGCGGUAAUACGUAGGUGGCAAGCGUUGUCCGGAAUUAUUGGGCGUAAAGCGCGCGCAGGCGGUCCUUUAAGUCUGAUGUGAAAGCCCACGGCUCAACCGUGGAGGGUCAUUGGAAACUGGGGGACUUGAGUGCAGGAGAGAAGAGUGGAAUUCCACGUGUAGCGGUGAAAUGCGUAGAGAUGUGGAGGAACACCAGUGGCGAAGGCGACUCUUUGGCCUGUAACUGACGCUGAGGCGCGAAAGCGUGGGGAGCAAACAGGAUUAGAUACCCUG